UACGAAGGGGGCUAGCGUUGCUCGGAAUGACUGGGCGUAAAGGGCGCGUAGGCGGAUGGCACAGUCAGAUGUGAAAUUCCCGGGCUUAACCUGGGGGCUGCAUUUGAUACGUGUUGUCUUGAGUUCGGAAGAGGGUCGUGGAAUUCCCAGUGUAGAGGUGAAAUUCGUAGAUAUUGGGAAGAACACCGGUGGCGAAGGCGGCGACCUGGUCCGAUACUGACGCUGAGGCGCGAAAGCGUGGGGAUCAAACAGG
Molecule: ribosomal RNA, 253 nt
Filed under: uncultured bacterium
Lineage: Bacteria
Description: partial 16S ribosomal RNA
Rfam family: Bacterial small subunit ribosomal RNA
Source: RNAcentral